GAUGAACGCUGGCGGCGUGCCUAAUACAUGCAAGUCGAGCGAACAGACGAGGAGCUUGCUCCUCUGACGUUAGCGGCGGACGGGUGAGUAACACGUGGCUAACCUACCUAUAAGACUGGGAUAACUUCGGGAAACCGGAGCUAAUACCGGAUAAUAUAUUGAACCGCAUGGUUCAAUAGUGAAAGACGGUUUUGCUGUCACUUAUAGAUGGAUCCGCGCCGCAUUAGCUAGUUGGUAAGGUAACGGCUUACCAAGGCAACGAUGCGUAGCCGACCUGAGAGGGUGAUCGGCCACACUGGGACUGAGACACGGUCCAGACUCCUACGGGAGGCAGCAGUAGGGAAUCUUCCGCAAUGGGCGAAAGCCUGACGGAGCAACGCCGCGUGAGUGAUGAAGGUCUUCGGAUCGUAAAACUCUGUUAUUAGGGAAGAACAAAUGUGUAAGUAACUAUGCACGUCUUGACGGUACCUAAUCAGAAAGCCACGGCUAACUACGUG
Molecule: ribosomal RNA, 497 nt
Filed under: uncultured bacterium
Lineage: Bacteria
Description: partial 16S ribosomal RNA
Rfam family: Bacterial small subunit ribosomal RNA
Source: RNAcentral